RNAcentral lists this ribosomal RNA (601 nucleotides) under uncultured Clostridium sp. Its description in RNAcentral is "bacterial SSU rRNA". It matches the Rfam family "Bacterial small subunit ribosomal RNA", at positions 917 to 1519 of the family's 1533-position model. Lineage: Bacteria; Bacillati; Bacillota; Clostridia; Eubacteriales; Clostridiaceae. The record is from RNAcentral.
GGGCCCGCACAAGCAGCGGAGCAUGUGGUUUAAUUCGAAGCAACGCGAAGAACCUUACCUAGACUUGACAUCUCCUGAAUUACUCUGUAAUGGAGGAAGCCCUUCGGGGCAGGAAGACAGGUGGUGCAUGGUUGUCGUCAGCUCGUGUCGUGAGAUGUUGGGUUAAGUCCCGCAACGAGCGCAACCCUUAUUGUUAGUUGCUACCAUUUAGUUGAGCACUCUAGCGAGACUGCCCGGGUUAACCGGGAGGAAGGUGGGGAUGACGUCAAAUCAUCAUGCCCCUUAUGUCUAGGGCUACACACGUGCUACAAUGGCUGGUACAGAGAGAUGCUAAACCGCGAGGUGGAGCCAAACUUUAAAACCAGUCUCAGUUCGGAUUGUAGGCUGAAACUCGCCUACAUGAAGCUGGAGUUGCUAGUAAUCGCGAAUCAGAAUGUCGCGGUGAAUACGUUCCCGGGCCUUGUACACACCGCCCGUCACACCAUGAGAGUUGGCAAUACCCAAAGUUCGUGAGCUAACGCGUAAGCGAGGCAGCGACCUAAGGUAGGGUCAGCGAUUGGGGUGAAGUCGUAACAAGGUAGCCGUAGGAGAACCUGCGGCU